Molecule: long non-coding RNA, 593 nt
Organism: Danio aesculapii
Lineage: Eukaryota; Metazoa; Chordata; Actinopteri; Cypriniformes; Danionidae
Exons: 4
Source: RefSeq, a predicted model, not a curated record
UGAAUGACUGGUAGACUUAACUUAAUCAGUUCAUAGGGCAAGGCUAUAUAUCUGUAUUUCAUUACUGGUGAAUGUGAAUUUGAUAUAUAAUAAACUACGCAUUUUAAAUCCAGAAGGAACAGGACAACAGCUGUUUGAUUUUUGAAGAGUAAAACAGAAAAAGAAAACAUUGGAGAGAUUCAUACUGAAGCAAGUUUUGAUAACUCAAUCCCAGAUGGAGAUUCUGACCAAUACGUGAACAACCAAGAAGAGUUUUCAGAAAACACUUCUGAAUCUACUGUACAGCUUUCAGUGCAGUGUGUGGAGAACCAGAGGGGACUUCAUGGGCAAAUUGCAUAUGAUGAAACUUUUUAUCCCAUCAAUCUCCAUCCUCAGGCUGAGCCAGAUACUGAAGAUGAAGGCAUUAUUAUCAACAUGUAAAAAACUUCAGCUGAGUUGUAAUUGUAAAAUAAUUUUAAAAACUAAAUACUAAUUUUUAACCAGUAAAACUUUUAAUAAAAUUGUAUAAAAAGUUCCUUUUAAGUUUAGAGUAACUUACUUUCAUUUUGCAAGUUUUCAAACACACACACACACACACACACACACACACACAC